CGAACACUGGCGGCGUGGAUUAGGCAUGCAAGUCGAACGAGAAAGCUCCCUUCGGGGAGUGAGUAUAGUGGCGAACGGGUGAGUAACGCGUGGGAAACCUGCCCCUCAGUGGGGGAUAACAGUUCUAACGGACUGCUAAUACCGCAUAUCGCCUUGCGAUCACAUGAUCGAAAGGUGAAAGGUGGCCUCUACAUGUAAGCUGCCGCUGAGGGAUGGUCCCGCGUCCCAUUAGCUUGUUGGUAGGGUAAUGGCCUACCAAGGCGACGAUGGGUAGCCGGCCUGAGAGGGUGUCCGGCCACACUGGGACUGAGAUACGGCCCAGACUCCUACGGGAGGCAGCAGUCGAGAAGCUUCGGCAAUGGGCGAAAGCCUGACCGAGCGACGCCGCGUGAGCGAUGAAGGCCUUACAGGUUGUAAAGCUCUGUCAGAUUGGGAAGAAAACUCCGGGAUUAAUACCCUCGGAGCUUGACGGUACCAUCAGAGGAAGCACCGGCUAACUCC
This 501-nucleotide ribosomal RNA is filed under the name uncultured bacterium. RNAcentral describes it as "bacterial SSU rRNA". It matches the Rfam family "Bacterial small subunit ribosomal RNA", at positions 30 to 504 of the family's 1533-position model. The record is from RNAcentral.